AUGUUCUUCUUGGGGAGACCUUGGCAAUUUGAUGUGGAUACUACACUCAAGGACAAGGAAAAUUCUUAUUCUUUCAUUUGGAACAAGAGAAAGAUCAUUAUCUUACCAAACCAAACCGAAGGUAAUACCUCUAAGGAGGAGGGGAAAACUAUGUUAACUAUCUCCCAUACCUCUCAUGAGUUUAUGGAAGACUUGAAGGAGGCAGAUUUGUGUGCUGCACUUGUUGGAAAAGGAGAAGAGCACCUGACUAUUGAAAUUCCAGUAAAGGUACAUGGUUUAUUGGCAGAAUUUCAUAACAUACUUGGAGAGCCACAAGGCUUGCCACAUAUGAGAGGAAUUCAACAUAGAAUUGAGUUAAUUCCGGGAGUAAGUCUUCCUAAUCUUCCAUACUAUCGAAUGAGCCCAAAGGAGCACGAUAUAUUGAAGGAGAAAGUAGAGGAAUUGUUGCAAAAGGGGCACAUUCGAGAAAGUAUUAGCCCAUGUGAUGUACCAUCCUUACUUGCGCCAAAGAAAGAUGGAUCUUGGCGCAUGUGUACAGACAGUACAGCCAUUAACAUGAUCACCGUAAGGUAUAGAUUC
Molecule: ribosomal RNA, 579 nt
Filed under: Triticum aestivum (bread wheat)
Lineage: Eukaryota; Viridiplantae; Streptophyta; Magnoliopsida; Poales; Poaceae
Description: partial small subunit ribosomal RNA
Source: RNAcentral